RNAcentral lists this ribosomal RNA (491 nucleotides) under uncultured bacterium. RNAcentral's name for it is "partial 16S ribosomal RNA". It matches the Rfam family "Bacterial small subunit ribosomal RNA", at positions 29 to 506 of the family's 1533-position model. The record is from RNAcentral.
AGUGAACGCUGGCGGUAGGCCUAACACAUGCAAGUCGAACGGCAGCACAGUAAGAGCUUGCUCUUACGGGUGGCGAGUGGCGGACGGGUGAGGAAUACAUCGGAAUCUACUUUUUCGUGGGGGAUAACGUAGGGAAACUUACGCUAAUACCGCAUACGACCUACGGGUGAAAGCAGGGGAUCUUCGGACCUUGCGCGAUUGAAUGAGCCGAUGUCGGAUUAGCUAGUUGGCGGGGUAAAGGCCCACCAAGGCGACGAUCCGUAGCUGGUCUGAGAGGAUGAUAAACCAAACGGGAACUGAGAAACGGUCCAAAACCCUAAGGGAGGCAGCAGGGGGGAAAAUUGGAAAAGGGGGGAAAGCCUAAUCCAGCCAAACCGGGGGGGGGAAGAAGGCCUUGGGGUUGUAAAGCCUUUUUGUUGGGAAAAAAAAGCAGCAGGUUAAUACCCCGCUGUUCUGACGGUACCAAAAAAAUAAGCACCGGAUAAAUUCGU